Peromyscus maniculatus bairdii (prairie deer mouse) is the source of this 254-nucleotide non-coding RNA. Lineage: Eukaryota; Metazoa; Chordata; Mammalia; Rodentia; Cricetidae. The record is from RefSeq and is a predicted model, not a curated record.
UUCUCUCAUGCCUUUCAGCUGUGAGCAUGUUGGAACACCCUGUCUGUGCUCCACUUUUUAGCAGGAUGGGAAGGAAGCUAAAGGUGACCAGACUCCUGGACACAGCUCCUCGCAUGAAUGGCACAAAUCAGAGCCAACAGACAAAAUAACGAAGGUGGAAGAGGACUGUGGUGGGAGAUAAAACCUCAGACCACCAUACUCCCAGCGCUCCACCCGGGGCCUAGCCGUAGAUGUCUGCAUCCAGAUUCCUCAGU